GAGUGCAGANGGGGAGAGUGGAAUUCCAUGUGUAGCGGUGAAAUGCGUAGAUAUAUGGAGGAACACCGGUGGCGAAAGCGGCUCUCUGGUCUGUCACUGACGCUGAGGCUCGAAAGCGUGGGUAGCGAACAGGAUUAGAUACCCUGGUAGUNCACGCCGUAAACGCUGAGUGCUAGGUGUUAGGUCCUUUCCGGGACUUAGUGUCGACGCUAACGCAUUAAGCACUCCGCCUGGGGAGUACGACCGCAAGGUUGAAACUCAAAGGAAUUGACGGGGGCCCGCACAAGCGGUGGAGCAUGUGGUUUAAUUCGAAGCAACGCGAAGAACCUUACCAGGUCUUGACAUCCCGAUGCCCGCUCUAGAGAUAGAGUUUUACUUUUUGUACAUCGGAGACAGGUGGUGCAUGGUUGUCGUCAGCUCGUGUCGUGAGAUGUUGGGUUAAGUCCCGCAACGAGCGCAACCCUUAUUGUUAGUUGCCAUCAUUAAGUUGGGCACUCUAGCGAGACUGCCGGUAAUAAACCGGAGGAAGGUGGGGAUGACGUCAAAUCAUCAUGCCCCUUAUGACCUGGGCUACACACGUGCUACAAUGGUUGGUACAACGAGUCGCAAGCCGGUGACGGCAAGCUAAUCUCUGAAAGCCAAUCUCAGUUCGGAUUGUAGGCUGCAACUCGCCUACAUGAAGUCGGAAUCGCUAGUAAUCGCGGAUCAGCACGCCGCGGUGAAUACGUUCCCGGGCCUUGUNC
Molecule: ribosomal RNA, 743 nt
Filed under: uncultured bacterium
Lineage: Bacteria
Description: bacterial SSU rRNA
Rfam family: Bacterial small subunit ribosomal RNA
Source: RNAcentral